GAUGGCUGCAGCAAUGAAGCUGAAAAGCAGGGUGGUGUUUGUUUACAGAUAGUGACACAGGACUCAGGAGUGCCAUAGGCGGCCAAGAGGGAAACAUAUGGGCGUAAGGUGACACUGAGGACCAGUGAGAGUUGUGUUAUCAAUGUUCCAGGACAUUCUGCAACAUCUCAGCUGCUGGAAGGUGAGAGUGGGUGGAUAAAGCCCAGUGCAUGGCUACACUCCAUCACACACCCCAGUCUCCUCACAUGUCAAUGUUACCAGAGUUAGGACGGGGCUGUGAGCGCGCUGCACAUGGCGUUGAGCAAUGACGUCAUCCACCCCCGCCGACGCAGCGGGCAGGAAGGGAGUCUGCACGAGGAGAGGUGGCAGUAUAAAGGGUGAUUCUCCAUCCUGUAAGGUCUGUUCCUGCAGUGGGAUCGGUUGACUCCUGAGGUGCAUGCCCUGGCUCCCACUGCACAUGACAAAGUUGGAUCAGACCAGAUAAUUGCAUAGAGAGAGAAAGAGUCCCCCUGAUGAAGUCUGCAGACUGUUGAACUACAGUAUGGCAAACACACUGGAGCGACUGGUCUUCGUGACAUUACCCAGCAACUCUGGAAUUCUUCCAUUGAAUGAUCUCAAUAAACCAUUGAAUAGCUGGAACUUUUCGUGGACCAAUAAUCUAAUAAAUAGUACGCCUUUAUCUUA
Molecule: long non-coding RNA, 684 nt
Organism: Pseudophryne corroboree (corroboree frog)
Lineage: Eukaryota; Metazoa; Chordata; Amphibia; Anura; Myobatrachidae
Exons: 4
Source: RefSeq, a predicted model, not a curated record